Molecule: transfer RNA, 57 nt
Filed under: Cephalophus dorsalis (bay duiker)
Lineage: Eukaryota; Metazoa; Chordata; Mammalia; Artiodactyla; Bovidae
Also listed under: 1 other name
Description: partial tRNA-Pro
Source: RNAcentral
AGACUAGAGCCCCACUAUCAACACCCAAAGCUGAAGUUCUACUUAAACUAUUCCCUG